UUUCAAAAGAGUUUUAUUGAGUCAAGAAGGGGAUAAUGAACUUCUUAGAUUUUCACUUGUUAUCUAACCACCCUUUAGCACCAUUCUAGACUUACUGAUUGCAGAUAGUACUAAAGAAACUAAAGUGGAUCAACCUGUCAACUAUUCACACUUGCUGAGAUUGUUUGAAGGAACCCAAGCUGACCUCCAACACUAAACCUGACACAACUGCUUGUCUUGGGGCUUGGUAUACAUGGGAUCAGAUUCUUCAAAUAAGUCUGGAAGGUAAAGCCUUUUGUAGAUUUAUCACCUUUUCACUCUCUGUUUCGACCCUAGAUUUAUAGGUAGAGAUAUUUAUUUAUUAAAAAAACGAAAAGAAAAGAAAGAAAAAUAAAAAAUGAAAAUAUAUAUAUGUAUAUAAUAGGUGUUAGUUAGGUGGAAUCUGAACAGGACUUGGUGGCUAAAACCAUUAAGGCUUGCUUCAUAAGGAUUCCAACAAAAAGAAUUCAAACGGGACUUGGUGGCGGCAAUCUUCAAGGCUCGAUUCAUAUGAAUUCUUGGAUAUAGGUCAAAAAGAAGUGAACAGGACUUGGUGGCAACCACCAUUAAGGCUUGAUUCAUGGAAGCCUGUCCAAUCUUGGUCAAUGAUCUUACAAUAUAAGCAGACUUUAACUAAAGAGAGAAAUUAGUGGAGAGAAAAGAUAGGAAUUAACUUUUACCUGCAGAUCCAGAUAUUUGUUUAAAAAUCGUUGCAUCCUGUGAUCGAUACUCCCAAGGUGAAGCCUACACUUUCAAUUAUGUUAAGAAAUGAGGUUGGUAUAGGGGAAUAUCAAACAGGAUUUGUUAAGUUGUUGGCUAGGUGAAUUUGGUUGCUAAGCUAGGAUAUGGUAUAAUGUGCUUUUGUGAUUAGGACUUCUUAGAUGUGGAUUGCGAUAUUGUAGAGGUUAAGAUUCUAUGAUUUAAAUAUGCGAGUCCCUGCUGUUUUCAAACCUCUUUCAGAGAGACUGCCUGU
This 991-nucleotide long non-coding RNA is filed under the name Brassica rapa (field mustard). RNAcentral describes it as "long non-coding RNA (BRAP_LNC008901)". Lineage: Eukaryota; Viridiplantae; Streptophyta; Magnoliopsida; Brassicales; Brassicaceae. The record is from RNAcentral.